ACCGCCCGUCACUCUCUUCAAGUAUACUUCAAAGGACAUUUAACUAAAACCCCUACGCAUCUAUAUAGAGGAGAUAAGUCGUAACAUGGUAAGUGUACUGGAAAGUGCACUUGGACGAAC
Molecule: ribosomal RNA, 120 nt
Filed under: Gorilla gorilla (western gorilla)
Lineage: Eukaryota; Metazoa; Chordata; Mammalia; Primates; Hominidae
Description: partial 12S rRNA
Source: RNAcentral